GGCCAGUUAGCUCAGUCAAUUGAGCAUGGCACUGACGGUGCCAAGGCCAUGGGUUCGAUUCCCGUUCCGUCCU
This 73-nucleotide transfer RNA is filed under the name Apaloderma vittatum (bar-tailed trogon). It matches the Rfam family "tRNA". From Rfam's summary of the family: Transfer RNA (tRNA) molecules are approximately 80 nucleotides in length. Their secondary structure includes four short double-helical elements and three loops (D, anti-codon, and T loops). Further hydrogen bonds mediate the characteristic L-shaped molecular structure. tRNAs have two regions of fundamental functional importance: the anti-codon, which is responsible for specific mRNA codon recognition, and the 3' end, to which the tRNAs corresponding amino acid is attached (by aminoacyl-tRNA synthetases). tRNAs cope with the degeneracy of the genetic code in two manners: having more than one tRNA (with a specific anti-codon) for a particular amino acid; and 'wobble' base-pairing, i.e. permitting non-standard base-pairing at the 3rd anti-codon position. Lineage: Eukaryota; Metazoa; Chordata; Aves; Trogoniformes; Trogonidae. The record is from Rfam by way of RNAcentral.